RNAcentral lists this ribosomal RNA (116 nucleotides) under Citrobacter koseri. Lineage: Bacteria; Pseudomonadati; Pseudomonadota; Gammaproteobacteria; Enterobacterales; Enterobacteriaceae. RNAcentral also lists the same sequence under 3 other names. The record is from RNAcentral.
CCUGGCGGCCGUAGCGCGGUGGUCCCACCUGACCCCAUGCCGAACUCAGAAGUGAAACGCCGUAGCGCCGAUGGUAGUGUAGGGUCUCCCCAUGCGAGAGUAGGGAACUGCCAGGC